AACGAACGCUUGCGGCAUGCUUAAAACAUGCAAGUCGAACGAGAAAGUGGCUUCGGCCAUGAGUAGAGUGGCGCACGGGUGAGUAACACGUAGCUAACGUCCCUCUUCGCUGGGGAUAACCUCGGGAAACCGAGGCUAAUACCGAAUGAUCUGAUGUGGUCCUUGGGCCAUAUCGGUAAAGCCUUCGGGCGCGAAGAGAUCGGGUUGCGUCCCAUUAGCUAGUUGGUAGGGUAAUGGCCUACCAAGGCUACGAUGGGUAGCUGGUCUGAGAGGAUGAUCAGCCACACUGGAACUGAAACACGGUCCAGACUCCCACGGGAGGCAGCAGUUGGGAAUAUUGGACAAUGGGGGAAACCCUGAUCCAGCAAUGCCGCGUGAAUGAUGAAGGCCUUCGGGUCGUAAAGUUCUUUUAGCAGGGAAGAAGGGAAACGUUGACUGUACCUGCAGAAAAAGCACCGGCUAACUCCGUGCCAGCAGCCGCGGUAAU
RNAcentral lists this ribosomal RNA (487 nucleotides) under uncultured bacterium. RNAcentral's name for it is "bacterial SSU rRNA". It matches the Rfam family "Bacterial small subunit ribosomal RNA", at positions 29 to 524 of the family's 1533-position model. The record is from RNAcentral.